Camelina sativa (false flax) is the source of this 478-nucleotide non-coding RNA. The record is from RefSeq and is a predicted model, not a curated record. Lineage: Eukaryota; Viridiplantae; Streptophyta; Magnoliopsida; Brassicales; Brassicaceae.
UAACUAAGGGGAUUGACACUGCAGGUGUGGCUAGAGGAUCAGGGAGGCAAGAUAUAGGGGCUUAUGUAAACCUAGCUGCUUACUAUCUCUGUGGCAUACCAACUGCUGUUUUAUUAGCUUUUAGAUUUAAAAUGGGAGGAAGAGGACUCUGGAUUGGGAUCACUGUUGGGUCCUUUGUACAAGCGGUUUUGCUCGGUCUUAUUGUUAUCCUCACCAACUGGAAACAACAGGCGAGAAAGGCUAGAGAAAGAGUUAUGGGUGAUGAAUUUGAAGAGAAAGAUAAUGAAGUGAUCAGCUAAACUAAUCAAGAGUUCAAUCACCAUCUCCUCCAUUAAAUGUCGUGUGUGUUUAUUUGUGCUGUUGUUUUCAAGUAUAGUAAUGAGGAACUGAAUGUUCACAUUAGUUUUGGCCUCUAGCGGUCGAGCCCUUUAUUUACAAAAAAAGUUUAUACUACUCACUAAUCAUAUACGAUUUGCUC